UUUCCAAAUUUUGCCGGUUUCAUUUAUUUUAUUUUCCUUUGAAAACACGUUCUUCGUGGUUGUAGUACACUGACAAGCCGCCAGAGGGCACCUUUGACCAUUUGUAGCUAUAACACACCAGCCUGCCGCCAGGGGACAAUGGUAUAAAAAUGUUGACAAUGGUUAAAAAAAAGGGAAGUCUUGACGAGACCAAAGCCAGGGUCACAUCCAUCUUUGGUGACAUCUUGAAGCUUGACUCCAGCAUGAAGGUGAGCUUUGUCAUCCACUGCAGCGUGUUAUUUUCACAGUGUAAUGUUAGUUUGACUGUUGCGCAGGUCACCAAAAAGCUUGCAGGCGGUGACACUGGGAUGGCCACCUGGAUCACGAACGUUGGCAAUGAGUACGGGCAGGACGCAGCCGAGGGGGACGGACUUGACAACAUAAUGGUGGACUGAUGCUGUCGUGCUGGUACCUUCGCAUCUGGGUCCUGGUUUACGCCCACGGGACAAGGCAGCUGUGACAUCCUGACAGUGGUCAUCAAAGUGACAUCUAUUGUGAGAAGCACAGAAACGCUGGGCUCAAACUUGAACCCUUGGAUACGGGAGGUGGCCAUGCCAGCAAGCAAGCUAAAAGCCAUGGGUGAUAGCGUCUGUUAUUAGCAUGUCGGGUAGUGAGGUUUACUCAGUGCACAGCUCUGUUUUAUUCUUAGGAUCUGGAAAAAAAGAAAAUGGGC
Long non-coding RNA from Clupea harengus (Atlantic herring), 712 nucleotides. The record is from Ensembl. NCBI's taxonomy places the organism in Eukaryota, Metazoa, Chordata, Actinopteri, Clupeiformes, Clupeidae.